UCUCAUCUCUCCUUCCAAUGGAAGACACAGCAGUAAGGUCAUCUGUGAACCAGCAGGAGGCCCUUCAUAAGACACUGAAUCUUCAGAAUCUCGAACAGCCCAGAACUGUGAGAAACAAAUGUCCAUGGUAUUCUAUUAUAGCAGCCCCAAUGGACUAACUUUAACAUAUGGUGAAGAAGUUGAGUCUCUUUUUUAUUCAUCUGGGAGCUUUUGUGAGAAUAGCAAGGAAGAGAUGCUCAUAUGAAGAAGGGUAUUGCUACUAUGUCGACACCCCAUGUGCUUUCUGCUAGACCAGGCAAUCUGGAGCCAGGGGCAAACUGCAUCCAGGUCAUCAAAAAGUGACAGUCUCAAUCCGAAGAUGUACUCUAUUACAAAGUAACUCGUGAACAGAAAAUGUAUAUCCACUGGGAACAAGACUAAAUCACCCAGAAUUACCCAGAGCUGACUGAAACAGUGACACACUCAUUCCAAAUACUGAGAUUAUCUGCAAUGAAAACUCAUAGAGAGGUCAUUUAUUUUCAUUAAGUCCAUUUUCUUUUUU
Non-coding RNA from Odocoileus virginianus texanus, 541 nucleotides. The record is from RefSeq and is a predicted model, not a curated record. NCBI's taxonomy places the organism in Eukaryota, Metazoa, Chordata, Mammalia, Artiodactyla, Cervidae.